UUUUUAAUCUGAAUAGUCCUAUAAAAUAAAAAUCCUAAGUUAAGAAUCAAAUGAAUAAAAUAAAUAAAAAGGAAAAAUACUUACCACUGGGUUGCCUCCCACUAAGCGCUUGUUUAUAGUCAAUAGCUUGACU
RNAcentral lists this small RNA (133 nucleotides) under Arabidopsis thaliana (thale cress). RNAcentral's name for it is "ATSL206720". The record is from RNAcentral. Lineage: Eukaryota; Viridiplantae; Streptophyta; Magnoliopsida; Brassicales; Brassicaceae.